Cordyceps militaris CM01 is the source of this 124-nucleotide non-coding RNA. The record is from Rfam. NCBI's taxonomy places the organism in Eukaryota, Fungi, Ascomycota, Sordariomycetes, Hypocreales, Cordycipitaceae.
GCGAGUCUGGCCGAGUGGUUAAGGCGUUGUGUUUAGGACAGUCUGUUUCCCCUGUGGAGAGACGAUAGAAUAUCCAAAACCGCAAUGGGCAUCGCCCGCGUAGGUUCGAUCCCUACGGCUCGCA